CAGAUAGGUUGGAGACGGUCCAUUUCUGGUGAUAUCUAGGGACAUCAGGAUCUGAAAGAAGGACAUGGGUUCCAAAGAAUCUGAUCCCAGUUUCACGGUGGAGUGUGUUUGGUAUUAAGCUGCAGUGAAAUAAAA
Molecule: long non-coding RNA, 135 nt
Organism: Spea bombifrons (plains spadefoot toad)
Lineage: Eukaryota; Metazoa; Chordata; Amphibia; Anura; Pelobatidae
Exons: 2
Source: RefSeq, a predicted model, not a curated record